RNAcentral lists this ribosomal RNA (396 nucleotides) under Pseudomonas aeruginosa. Its description in RNAcentral is "partial 23S ribosomal RNA". It matches the Rfam family "Bacterial large subunit ribosomal RNA", at positions 1103 to 1505 of the family's 2925-position model. Lineage: Bacteria; Pseudomonadati; Pseudomonadota; Gammaproteobacteria; Pseudomonadales; Pseudomonadaceae. The record is from RNAcentral.
GGCUUAGAAGCAGCCACCCUUUAAAGAAAGCGUAAUAGCUCACUAGUCGAGUCGGCCUGCGCGGAAGAUGUAACGGGGCUCAAACCACACACCGAAGCUGCGGGUGUCACGCAAGUGACGCGGUAGAGGAGCGUUCUGUAAGCCUGUGAAGGUGAGUUGAGAAGCUUGCUGGAGGUAUCAGAAGUGCGAAUGCUGACAUGAGUAACGACAAUGGGUGUGAAAAACACCCACGCCGAAAGACCAAGGGUUCCUGCGCAACGUUAAUCGACGCAGGGUUAGUCGGUUCCUAAGGCGAGGCUGAAAAGCGUAGUCGAUGGGAAACAGGUUAAUAUUCCUGUACUUCUGGUUACUGCGAUGGAGGGACGGAGAAGGCUAGGCCAGCUUGGCGUUGGUUGU